RNAcentral lists this microRNA (22 nucleotides) under Populus trichocarpa (black cottonwood). RNAcentral describes it as "ptc-miR6462c-5p". Lineage: Eukaryota; Viridiplantae; Streptophyta; Magnoliopsida; Malpighiales; Salicaceae. The record is from miRBase by way of RNAcentral.
AAGGGACAAAAAUGGCAUAAGA